UGAGGGUUGCCAGGGUAAUGACCAAUCAUCCCUGGAGAGAUGCCUGCUAGUAAGGACAACAUAGGCUUUCUCUUUUUUGGUAUUCUGCAGUAUGUAUUUGAGAGCUAUUCUAGCAUCAAGAUUGCAGAACUUCUGUUUAGUUAGCAGAGAGGGAAAGUUUACACAGUAUGAAAUAACAGCUUACAACUACUGAGGGGCUUGGAUGGCUCCAAGGAGCUGGGAAUUGCUCACAGAGGCUUUUUGUUCAUGGCCUGUUGCCCAGUCCAACCCAGCCCAGGCCACGAGUGACCAGGAGCUGUUUCCGUGUCAGCCCAGCCUAAUGGAUGAUGUGAGCUGUGCCUCAGUCCAAUUUCAGCAGCAGGAGCAUCACAAAAGCCAGCACUGCCCUUGUCCCCAAGUGACUCUCUUGCAAGCCAGGGCUGUUUUGGGGCAGGGGAGAGCCAAGGCUCUGGGGGACCAGCUGCCUCCUGCCUCACAUCCUUCCCUGCACUCGGAGGGGGAACUCCAGCCUGCGGAGCUGUCAGGCUGAUGCUUUCCCCAGCACUGGAAUGACACGCAGUGAAAACAGGCUGGCAACAGGAACAGAAAUCAGGAGCAUCUUGGGUUAGGAGCACGGAUAUCUUCUGGUAAAAGAUACACAGAAGAGUAUGAAUGGUUUCAUUCAGAGUUUUGCACCAAUGCCCUCUGUGUAUGAGGAAAAUCAUUAGGAUGCCAUUAGCUCUCAUGCGUUAAAAUGGAAAAUACUUCUUUAUUGUAAUCUCUAAUUUCAUUUUACAAUGUUUUUACUAUUUCUUUUUUGCAGUUUGCUUACUUAGACUCUCAGACUGGUCAUUUUCGCUCUGCUUAAAUUUAAUUUCACUCCUUUGCUUGCUCUCUUGUUCUUCCAUCUGAAAAGCUUUCAUGUUGGGUAACUUGCUCAGCAGCAAGGAUAGAGGGAAACAGGUGGGCAGGCAAUCUGAAUUCUGAUUUUGGCUCUGCCACUGGCUGCUUGGCAAGCUGUUUACACCACUCUGUGCCUUACUUUCCCAGAGAAAGAGAUUCAUAGUUUAAGAACAGUUCAAAAUCUUUGACAAAAAAGAACCGUGCAACUACUUAGUGCUAUUUCCUGAAGGAAAACACAUGUAAAAUCAGGUAUUUUAUUCCAUGUGCUCCUUAAAAUGUCUAUCAGUUAAACCCAGUAAGCCUCUGUUCUUCAUUUUCCUUUACUGAAUUAGUUCUAAAUGUUGAGUCAUCAUCAUUGAUGCCCACAUCCAAACCACCACAGACAUCUUAGCCUUCAAACUGCAAAAAAUCCCAAAUGUUCUGGAUUCUUCAGCCCAUUUAACAUGUGUGGUAUGUAAGUAGCAAAUCCAUGUAACUACUGAGACAUGGCUACAGUACAGAUCUGCACUGGCACUGCAGAAGGUAUGGAUUGCUCUCUCCUUAAGCUUUAAUGUUCUCUCUAUUCCCUCCCUCUCCAGUUUAAUUUGGAUAAAGUGUUCACCAGCAGGACACAGUAGUUUGUUAAGGGCACAGUUGUUACAUAACUUUAUAUUACUUACAGCCCUAUAAAAGUGUUGCAGAUAACACCAGAGACAGUGUUGUUCCUCUACCUUGUUCCUCCAUGGUGCCAUUUCCAGUACUAUUGAUUCACAAUGGAACCCCUUUUCCCUCAGGAAUGGCUGGGGUCAGAGCAAUACCGUCGAUGCUGAUGGAGGUGAAGAGCCAGCAGCAGCAUUAUGCUGAAAAGCUUCCUAAAAAUGGCCUCUAUCUCCUUGCUGACCUGGAAACCCAGCUUCUUGUAUCAGAUGUCCUCAUUCAUGACCAUAAAACCCCUUUGGGUACCAAAAGUUUUGUAAUUUAAAUGGCAAAACUUCAAAACUGCAAGCUUGAGUACCACUGCUGACAGCUUGGUGUAAGCUCAGCCUCAAAGUCCAGGGGAAGAUGAAAUACAUCUGUAAUUAUUCUGAAUUCAGCACUUGACUGCAGUGAGUAUUUCUUGCUGCACAGCAACCGAGGGUCAGCUUGGAUUCCAAAAGUGAAUUUGCCGUUUUUAUUGAAAUGCAACUGCAACACACAGAGUUAAAUUCUUGUUUCAUUUUACUGAUCUUCACUGAAGCAUUUUCCAGUGGCACCUGGGAGCUUGGUGUUCUGCAGCCUGCAGGAAGCUGCCAGGAACUGUGCUCAAGGGGACCGUGUUGAGGUUAUGUGCAGCAGGGCUUCAGAUGUGAAUGUGCUUGUGGGUGGCACUGUGUGAAUACACGUACUGAAAAAUAUUACACCUGCGAUUUCCUAAGAUUGGGUAGCAGUGGAAUGCGAGAAUCUUUCAUUAAAAAUGUGAAAAGCA
Long non-coding RNA from Corvus hawaiiensis (hawaiian crow), 2326 nucleotides. RefSeq lists it as uncharacterized. The record is from RefSeq and is a predicted model, not a curated record. NCBI's taxonomy places the organism in Eukaryota, Metazoa, Chordata, Aves, Passeriformes, Corvidae. The transcript has 2 exons.